This is a long non-coding RNA of Suricata suricatta (meerkat), 215 nucleotides long. RefSeq lists it as uncharacterized. The transcript is spliced from 3 exons. The record is from RefSeq and is a predicted model, not a curated record. NCBI's taxonomy places the organism in Eukaryota, Metazoa, Chordata, Mammalia, Carnivora, Herpestidae.
CUUGAUGUCAUCAUAUAGGCAUUUUUUCAUGUUAGAUCAUCAUCAUCAUAAGAAAGUGCAACUCAGAACCCAGUUUCGUUCUGCCUUGAGACGGAGAGCAAGGAGAGAACACAGAAUAGAAAGAGCCAGAAGAGCUACCUAGAGGAGGCCACCAGUGGUUACGUUGUGUUGGGCCCAGGAAUAUUCCACGAUCAGUCAAGACUCUCAGUUGCUGC